AAGCCCUUCGGGGUGGAUUAGCGGCGGACGGGUGAGUAACACGUGGGUAACCUGCCUUAUAGAGGGGGAUAGCCUUCCGAAAGGAAGAUUAAUACCGCAUAACAUGUUUUUACUGCAUGGUAGAAACAUCAAAGGAGCAAUCCGCUAUAAGAUGGACCCGCGGCGCAUUAGCUAGUUGGUGAGGUAACGGCUCACCAAGGCGACGAUGCGUAGCCGACCUGAGAGGGUGAUCGGCCACAUUGGAACUGAGACACGGUCCAGACUCCUACGGGAGGCAGCAGUGGGGAAUAUUGCGCAAUGGGGGAAACCCUGACGCAGCAACGCCGCGUGAAUGAAGAAGGCCUUAGGG
This 349-nucleotide ribosomal RNA is filed under the name uncultured bacterium. RNAcentral describes it as "bacterial SSU rRNA". It matches the Rfam family "Bacterial small subunit ribosomal RNA", at positions 73 to 422 of the family's 1533-position model. The record is from RNAcentral.